AUUGAACGCUGGCGGCAGGCCUAACACAUGCAAGUCGAGCGGAUGAAGGGAGCUUGCUCCUGGAUUCAGCGGCGGACGGGUGAGUAAUGCCUAGGAAUCUGCCUGGUAGUGGGGGAUAACGUCCGGAAACGGGCGCUAAUACCGCAUACGUCCUGCGGGAGAAAGUGGGGGAUCUUCGGACCUCACGCUAUCAGAUGAGCCUAGGUCGGAUUAGCUAGUUGGUGGGGUAAAGGCCUACCAAGGCGACGAUCCGUAACUGGUCUGAGAGGAUGAUAAGUCACACUGGAACUGAGACACGGUCCAGACUCCUGAGGGAGGCAGCAGUGGGGAAUAUUAGACAAUGGGCGAAAGCCUGGUCCAGCCAUGCCGCGUGUGUGAAGAAGGUCUUCGGAUUGUAAAGCACUUUAAGUUGGGAGGAAGGGCAGUAAGUUAAUACCUUGCUGUUUUGACGUUACCAACAGAAUAAGCACCGGCUAACUUCGUG
This 484-nucleotide ribosomal RNA is filed under the name uncultured bacterium. RNAcentral describes it as "partial 16S ribosomal RNA". It matches the Rfam family "Bacterial small subunit ribosomal RNA", at positions 30 to 507 of the family's 1533-position model. The record is from RNAcentral.